Molecule: ribosomal RNA, 496 nt
Filed under: uncultured bacterium
Lineage: Bacteria
Description: partial 16S ribosomal RNA
Rfam family: Bacterial small subunit ribosomal RNA
Source: RNAcentral
AUGAACGCUUGCGGCGUGCCUAAUACAUGCAAGUCGAGCGAACAGAUGAGGAGCUUGCUCCUCUGACGUUAGCGGCGUACGGGUGAGUAACACGUGGAUAACCUACCUAUAAGACUGGGAUAACUUCGGUAAACCGGAGCUAAUACCGGAUAAUAUAUUUAACCGCAUGGUUCAAUAGUGAAAUACGGUUUUGCUGUCACUUAUAGAUGGAUCCGCGCCGCAUUAGCUAGUUGGUAAGUUAACGGCUUACCAAGGCAACGAUGCGUAGCCGACCUGAGAGGGUGAUCGGCCACACUGGAACUGAGACACGGUCCAGACUCCUACGGGAGGCAGCAGUAGGGAAUCUUCCGAAAUGGGCGAAAGCCUGACGGAGCAACGCCGCGUGAGUGAUGAAGGUCUUCGGAUCGUAAAACUCUGUUAUUAGGGAAGAACAAAUGUGUAAGUAACUAUGCACGUCUUGACGGUACCUAAUCAGAAAGCCACGGCUAACUACGUG